CUAACUACGUGCCAGCAGCCGCGGUAAUACGUAGGGCGCAAGCGUUAUCCGGAAUUAUUGGGCGUAAAGAGCUCGUAGGCGGUUUGUCGAGUCUGCUGUGAAAUCCCGAGGCUCAACCUCCGGGCCUGCAGUGGGUACGGGCAGACUAGAGUGCGGUAGGGGAGAUUGGAAUUCCUGGUGUAGCGGUGGAAUGCGCAGAUAUCAGGAGGAACACCGAUGGCGAAGGCAGAUCUCUGGGCCGUAACUGACGCUGAGGAGCGAAAGGGUGGGGAGCAAACAGGCUUAGAUACCCUGGUAGUCCACCCCGUAAACGUUGGGAACUAGUUGUGGGGUCCAUUCCACGGAUUCCGUGACGCAGCUAACGCAUUAAGUUCCCCGCCUGGGGAGUACGGCCGCAAGGCUAAAACUCAAAGGAAUUGACGGGGACCCGCACAAGCGGCGGAGCAUGCGGAUUAAUUCGAUGCAACGCGAAGAACCUUACCAAGGCUUGACAUAUACGAGAACGGGCCAGAAAUGGUCAACUCUUUGGACACUCGUAAACAGGUGGUGCAUGGUUGUCGUCAGCUCGUGUCGUGAGAUGUUGGGUUAAGUCCCGCAACGAGCGCAACCCUCGUUCUAUGUUGCCAGCACGUAAUGGUGGGAACUCAUGGGAUACUGCCGGGGUCAACUCGGAGGAAGGUGGGGAUGACGUCAAAUCAUCAUGCCCCUUAUGUCUUGGGCUUCACGCAUGCUACAAUGGCCGGUACAAAGGGCUGCAAUACCGCGAGGUGGAGCGAAUCCCAAAAAGCCGGUCCCAGUUCGGAUUGAGGUCUGCAACUCGACCUCAUGAAGUCGGAGUCGCUAGUAAUCGCAGAUCAGCAACGAGGAGGCGAAUA
This 875-nucleotide ribosomal RNA is filed under the name Microbacterium sp. BE432. RNAcentral describes it as "bacterial SSU rRNA". It matches the Rfam family "Bacterial small subunit ribosomal RNA", at positions 497 to 1368 of the family's 1533-position model. The record is from RNAcentral. Lineage: Bacteria; Bacillati; Actinomycetota; Actinomycetes; Micrococcales; Microbacteriaceae.